RNAcentral lists this ribosomal RNA (457 nucleotides) under uncultured Sphingobacteriales bacterium. Its description in RNAcentral is "bacterial SSU rRNA". It matches the Rfam family "Bacterial small subunit ribosomal RNA", at positions 926 to 1382 of the family's 1533-position model. Lineage: Bacteria; Pseudomonadati; Bacteroidota; Sphingobacteriia; Sphingobacteriales. The record is from RNAcentral.
CAAGCGGAGGAGCAUGUGGUUUAAUUCGAUGAUACGCGAGGAACCUUACCUGGGCGUCGAACGUAAGAUGACUGUAGGUGAAAGCUUACAUCUCUUCGGAGCAUUUUACGAGGUGCUGCAUGGUUGUCGUCAGCUCGUGCCGUGAGGUGUCGGGUUAAGUCCCAUAACGAGCGCAACCCCUACCUUUAGUUGCCAUCAGGUUAAGCUGGGGACUCUAAAGGAACUGCCUACGCAAGUAGUGAGGAAGGCGGGGAUGACGUCAAAUCAGCACGGCCCUUACGUCCAGGGCUACACACGUGCUACAAUGGCCGAUACAGAGGGCAGCUACCUGGUGACAGGAUGCAAAUCUCCAAAGUCGGUCUCAGUUCGGAUCGGAGUCUGCAACCCGACUCCGUGAAGUUGGAUUCGCUAGUAAUCGCGCAUCAGCCAUGGCGCGGUGAAUACGUUCCCGGGCCUU